CGUACCCUUUAUAAGGUCCCUGGCGGCGGCCUGUGCUCUCUUUCCUCCUGCGGCUGGGUGAGUGAUGGGUGCGGCUUUGUGUGCUCUCACCAAGCACGUUUGUUGUCUGAAUAGAGUCAGUUCUAUAUAAACCCCUUCAACGCCCACUGGAAGCCCCUCCAUGCUCCACAGUGGAUAACACAGGGGGGGAGAUCAUGAACUCUCUCAAACACAGGGAAGAGGUGUCCCCUCCUUAUCUCUGUAUCCUGUCGUGAGCUACACCAGGCCCAGUGUCUCCUGUAAUGGUUUAUAAUGUAAAUACUGCUCUGAUAUCUACAGCUUUAUUGAUCUGCAAUGCAGUCUGGGGGCAUUAUGUGGGUGGGUGUCUUUAUUUAUUAUAUAUAUUCUCAGUUAAUGUCUCUUUGUAUGCAGUGUGUAGAGUGUCAAAAUAACCUGUAUUUUCAGUAGAAAUGCUUAUGGGCAUGAUUUUAAAACCUACAUCUGAAUUAAAUCCUUAUUUUGCUUUCUUUCUCUAUAGGAUGGACUGUAAAAACAAAAAAGCUGAACAUGCAGUGAUUGAAGUUGCUCUGCAAGUAAUAAAGGUAUUCAAUGCUCUAUAGUUUCGUAUUACACUUUUUUUUUUAUAAAUAAACCUGAUUGAAAAUUUGGGAAUAGAAGUUGGAUGUUUUUGAGAUCCUUUCCCUUCUGCUUUGCUCACUUUAAGACUUUCUAUUUUUAAAGUGACCAAUAUAGGGGGGUAUACUAAAUGCUCCAUAAAACUCAAAGUACAGGUUUAUGUUUUGUGCUUUGAAUCCUGUCUGGAGCUAUAUUUUUUUUUGGGAAGUGUAUUUAUACUUAUCACUUGGCUUGAGUUGUGCAGCAAACAACUUAAAUGGAUGCUUUAGUCACCAGAACCACUACAGCUUAAUGUAGUGGUUCCGGUGUCUCUAGCAUGUCCCUACAGCAUUUGCACUAUAAACACUGCCUUUUCAGAGACAUGGCAGUGUUUAUAUUGCUGGCUAUUUACACAUCUAGUGGCAUUCACCCAGAUGGCCAUGAGAGGUGCUUCUUGUGUUAGUGUUGCAAUGUGCAGUACUGGCAUUGUGCUCCUCCACUCAGAGUAUGGCGAUGCUGACUAUAGCAAUGCAGUGUUGCUGCGCAUGCACAAUAACCUUUCAAAAAAUUUUAUGAGAGCAUUUGCUUGGGUGAAAUUUUUAACAUCACCUACGGAGGAGAGGCCUGCUGCAGAGAUUUCAGUGUGGGAGAAAAGUCUAGUAAAGCACGUGGUGUGGCCCUUUAGAUCCCUGGCCCCCAGCACUAUAGUGUCAGGAAUAUUAUUCCUGAGGCUAUAUAGUGUUCCUUUAACUCGUGUUUGUCUCUGCUCUAUUUGGAGCAUGAGAAGCCUUCAAAAUUUGAAGGAUAUAAAUUUAUUUUAAUCUGAUUAUACCAACUUGGUUUUAAAAUGGUUAAGUAACAGUGCUUAGUCAGUAACUGUCAGUUUCUGACCUCUGUCCAAUGUGUAGAGAAUCUCUGGGUACCGGUAACACAUGCAUGGCUGUUGCCAUGGUCUGGCACUUUCAGAGAAUCGUUGAAUCCAGUGCUUCUCAGACUGAUUACCAGCUUUCUGCUGUAUGUAGAUCUGAAGUUCUACAAUUUUGAAGGUCCUCCAAAACCAGUUAAUGUCACUACAGUGUUGUGCCCAGAGUCCAGACAUCUUAACUCUGGUUAAUUUUUGUACAGUUUAACAUCAUGGGGAGUACUCUCUGAAUGGGGCUGGCCAUCUACCUUAAGGAAUGAGGAUAACUAAGCAAAUUUAAUCUGCCUUUUGGCAGACUAGGGAAGUUGUUUUCAAAUAGCUCUAUUGAAACUGUGCUAAGAGGCACAUGUGAGAUAAAUGUUUGUUUUUUGUUUUACAGGAAGCUGGAGCUGACUCAGUGGUGCAGUUAAGUAUAAUACAGAAAGUUAUUCUUUUGUUUACUGUUCUGCAACUGACAGUUUAAAUUGCAAAGCCUGCUUUGUUAGAGGAACACUCAAAACACAACUGGUACAGCAGUAGUGGUUAUCGUGCUAUCCUAGAGUAAUCUGUCAAACUGUUUUAAAACUUUCUGAUAACUUCCUUUGGUCCCCCCUUGAUGCCUGCACUAUUUUCAGUCAUUGCCUGCAGGAUAAGCCAGUUUUUUUUCUGAACUUGGCUCAUCCAAUAAAGGGCAUUGUUUAGUGCUUUGGCAAGUUGUCAAUGUUCUAUGUCUUGACAAAUUUGUCUGGCAGUGCCUUUACUGAUGCCAGAACCACUAUAGCAGGCAAAACUAAUGUUCAAUAUUAGUCUGUAGACACUAGUAUUGACAUGUUUUGUAGAUAUUGCUUUAGUAUCCCCCUACCAUGUAGUUUAUCAAGAAGUAAACACUGUACAGCUAUCUGACCAUAUAAGCCCAAGGCAUCAUCCAAGCACUUCCACUGUGGUACAUGCUAUAUCCAAAAUGUAAUGUUCCAUCCACUUAAUUGGAGACUUAUAAUUUUUAUAUUAAUAAAGAAUUCUGGCAGUUUGGAACCGUAGAUGUCCAUAGUUUUUGAGAAUCCUGAAGGCUAGACAAACAUUUGAAUUGUAGAUUAAGUUGUCUGCCUAUAAAGUCUCCUUAAUCUCGAUGAAGCGGUCUAGGUGACCCUGUAACUGAAAACAUUGCCAUUUAGAAUCUGAUGGUGUUAAGACCUAAAUAGGUAGUUUGUACUGUUGGGAAUUCAGACAUGUUUUAGUGUUUAACUCUGUAGUACCACUAUUGGCUAAAGCUGCCUUAGACAAUCAAGGGAGGUGAGUUUGUUUUCACUGCAAAUUAUCAAUGUUUAAAUUGUAUUGUCAAAUGAAUGUUACAAAUAAAGAUGUUUAUCACUACAA
This 2869-nucleotide long non-coding RNA is filed under the name Pelobates cultripes (western spadefoot toad). The stretch from base 690 to 811 matches the Rfam family "Small nucleolar RNA SNORA26". The record is from RNAcentral. Lineage: Eukaryota; Metazoa; Chordata; Amphibia; Anura; Pelobatidae.